Long non-coding RNA from Lagopus muta (rock ptarmigan), 419 nucleotides. RefSeq lists it as uncharacterized. The record is from RefSeq and is a predicted model, not a curated record. The transcript has 3 exons. Lineage: Eukaryota; Metazoa; Chordata; Aves; Galliformes; Phasianidae.
UGGGAAACAGGGUUGUAUAGCUUGAGAGUCUGUUCACCAAUUAGAAAAGCAUUGAGGAGACCUGUGUUCAUGUUACCAUGGAAGAUCUGUCGUUCUGCUCUUUCUGCAUACAAAAGUCUCGUGUCUGCUGCAGAUUAUCUGGCAGAGAAAACAAGAAGUACAUCCAAGGUUUGUUCCAGUAAAUCUUAUUGAGAUAAUUGAGGAGUUAUGCUUUUUGCACAUAUGGAUAGAAAAACAAGAUAGCAUUAGAGAAGGCAGCUAUUCAAGUAUUUGUGGAAGGAAAGAGGUGGUGAAAAUGAGCAGAGCACCAAAAAGGACAGAGAAGAAUGGAUAAAACUGAAACUGAACAAGAGCAGCAAAUAAACAACUUGAAGCAACUUCAUUUUGCCAAAUAAUUCUUGAACCAGAUAUAACUGCUG